RNAcentral lists this ribosomal RNA (782 nucleotides) under Bacillus subtilis. RNAcentral's name for it is "bacterial SSU rRNA". It matches the Rfam family "Bacterial small subunit ribosomal RNA", at positions 61 to 825 of the family's 1533-position model. The record is from RNAcentral. Lineage: Bacteria; Bacillati; Bacillota; Bacilli; Caryophanales; Bacillaceae. RNAcentral also lists the same sequence under 1 other name.
GUCGAGCGGACAGAUGGGAGCUUGCUCCCUGAUGUUAGCGGCGGACGGGUGAGUAACACGUGGGUAACCUGCCUGUAAGACUGGGAUAACUCCGGGAAACCGGGGCUAAUACCGGAUGGUUGUUUGAACCGCAUGGUUCAAACAUAAAAGGUGGCUUCGGCUACCACUUACAGAUGGACCCGCGGCGCAUUAGCUAGUUGGUGAGGUAACGGCUCACCAAGGCAACGAUGCGUAGCCGACCUGAGAGGGUGAUCGGCCACACUGGGACUGAGACACGGCCCAGACUCCUACGGGAGGCAGCAGUAGGGAAUCUUCCGCAAUGGACGAAAGUCUGACGGAGCAACGCCGCGUGAGUGAUGAAGGUUUUCGGAUCGUAAAGCUCUGUUGUUAGGGAAGAACAAGUACCGUUCGAAUAGGGCGGUACCUUGACGGUACCUAACCAGAAAGCCACGGCUAACUACGUGCCAGCAGCCGCGGUAAUACGUAGGUGGCAAGCGUUGUCCGGAAUUAUUGGGCGUAAAGGGCUCGCAGGCGGUUUCUUAAGUCUGAUGUGAAAGCCCCCGGCUCAACCGGGGAGGGUCAUUGGAAACUGGGGAACUUGAGUGCAGAAGAGGAGAGUGGAAUUCCACGUGUAGCGGUGAAAUGCGUAGAGAUGUGGAGGAACACCAGUGGCGAAGGCGACUCUCUGGUCUGUAACUGACGCUGAGGAGCGAAAGCGUGGGGAGCGAACAGGAUUAGAUACCCUGGUAGUCCACGCCGUAAACGAUGAGUGCUAAGUGUUA